RNAcentral lists this ribosomal RNA (91 nucleotides) under Bacillus subtilis. Its description in RNAcentral is "partial 16S ribosomal RNA". It matches the Rfam family "Bacterial small subunit ribosomal RNA", at positions 1 to 89 of the family's 1533-position model. Lineage: Bacteria; Bacillati; Bacillota; Bacilli; Caryophanales; Bacillaceae. RNAcentral also lists the same sequence under 5 other names. The record is from RNAcentral.
UUAUCGGAGAGUUUGAUCCUGGCUCAGGACGAACGCUGGCGGCGUGCCUAAUACAUGCAAGUCGAGCGGACAGAUGGGAGCUUGCUCCCUG